Molecule: ribosomal RNA, 525 nt
Filed under: Plectosphaerella cucumerina
Lineage: Eukaryota; Fungi; Ascomycota; Sordariomycetes; Glomerellales; Plectosphaerellaceae
Description: eukaryotic LSU rRNA
Rfam family: 5.8S ribosomal RNA (bases 138-291)
Source: RNAcentral
UAUCGAGUCACCUCUCUACCCUUUGUGACUAUUAUACCUGUUGCUUCGGCGGCGCCCGCGAGGGUGCCCGCCGGUCUCAUCAGAAUCUCUGUUUUCGAACCCGACGAUACUUCUGAGUGUUCUUAGCGAACUGUCAAAACUUUUAACAACGGAUCUCUUGGCUCCAGCAUCGAUGAAGAACGCAGCGAAACGCGAUAUGUAAUGUGAAUUGCAGAAUUCAGUGAAUCAUCGAAUCUUUGAACGCACAUGGCGCCUUCCAGUAUCCUGGGAGGCAUGCCUGUCCGAGCGUCGUUUCAACCCUCGAGCCCCCGUGGCCCGGCGUUGGGGAUCUGCCACGGCAGGCCCCUAAAACCAGUGGCGGACCCGAAGGCCCUCUCCUUUGCGCAGUAGCAUCAGCCUCGCAUUGGGAUCCCUCGGCGUCCUGCCUCUAAACCCCCCACAAGUCCGCUCCGGCGGCACCAAGGUUGACCUCGGAUCAGGUAGGAAUACCCGCUGAACUUAACAUAUCUAAAACGGGGAAGAAAA